UGAGUAGCGAUUAUCCAGGCUUGUAUCCUGGGGGCUGAUGAGGAGUAGGGUUUCUGGACAACUUAAACAGAUCCAGAGUUAGUCGAUCCUAAUCUCAAUAAUGGGAGAAAGGGAGUACAGUUGAUAUUCUGUAACUGACAACAGUUCGCGGCAACGCAUACUAUUUUUCUCCGCCAAUCUUAUACCGUUGGUAGGGAUCUCUUUCCUACAUGACAGUACUAAUACCCAGGGAAACUGGUCAUCAGGCGAACUGCGGCGUUCUGCUGGCAAAACAUAGCUUCGGUUAUGUCAAUGGCUAUUGGAUUGGUCCAUGAAGCGAAAAAUAGUUUACUGUGUCACUCGUACCGAUAACCGCAUCAGGUCUUCUAGGUAAGUAGCCUAUGGCCAUUGAGGCAUGAUAGUUCAGGGAAUUCGGCCAAUUAGAGCUGUAACUUCGGGAUAAAGCUUGGCUCUGAUGAAAAUCAGAACCGAUUGUUACGCGGAGAGCCCAACUGUUUAAUAAAAACGUAGUGUCGCGCUGUGGUAGUAUAGCCAGUGAACGCGACAUGAAUCCUGCUCAGUGCUGUGUCUGUUAAUAUGGUUCAAGCCAACGAAGCACCGGUAAAUAGCUGGGGUAACUAUGACUCUUAUCAAAGUAGCGAAAUACCUCGUCACUUAAUUAGUGACCUGCAUGAACGGAGCUAUGAGGUUCUCACUGUCCCAAACUGUCUCUCAGCGAACCAACUGUAGUGGGAACGGUCACUAGAUAUCCAGCGGGGAAAGAAGACCCUGUAGAGCUUCACUUUGGUCUAGUCUUGUAUAGUUCCUGCGGGGGUGUAGACUAGGUGGGAGAGCAAUCGAUUCUGAAAAACCACUACCCUGUUUGGAAUUAUGCUUACCUAUCACAAGGAAUAGGACUAGAUAGAAAGUU
Molecule: non-coding RNA, 910 nt
Filed under: Trichomonas vaginalis G3
Lineage: Eukaryota; Parabasalia; Trichomonadida; Trichomonadidae
Description: Eukaryotic large subunit ribosomal RNA
Rfam family: Eukaryotic large subunit ribosomal RNA
Source: Rfam by way of RNAcentral